CGGCGCACGGGUGCGUAACGCGUAUGCAAUCUACCUUUUACAGUGGGAUAGCCCAGAGAAAUUUGGAUUAAUACCACAUAGUAUAUCAUUUUCGCAUGGAGGAGAUAUUAAAGUCACAACGGUAAAAGAUGAGCAUGCGUCCCAUUAGCUAGUUGGUAAGGUAACGGCUUACCAAGGCAACGAUGGGUAGGGGUCCUGAGAGGGAGAUCCCCCACACUGGUACUGAGACACGGACCAGACUCCUACGGGAGGCAGCAGUGAGGAAUAUUGGACAAUGGGCGCAAGCCUGAUCCAGCCAUGCCGCGUGCAGGAUGACGGUCCUAUGGAUUGUAAACUGCUUUUAUACGAGAAGAAACCCUCCGACGUGUCGGAGCUUGACGGUAUCGUAAGAAUAAGGAUCGGCUAACUCCGUGCCAGCAGCCGCGGUAAUACGGAGGAUCCAAGCGUUGUCCGGAUUUAUUGGGUUUAAAGGGUGCGUAGGCGGUUUAUUAAGUCAGUGGUGAAAGACGGUCGCUCAACGAUUGCAGUGCCAUUGAUAC
RNAcentral lists this ribosomal RNA (539 nucleotides) under uncultured Flavobacterium sp. RNAcentral describes it as "bacterial SSU rRNA". It matches the Rfam family "Bacterial small subunit ribosomal RNA", at positions 96 to 633 of the family's 1533-position model. Lineage: Bacteria; Pseudomonadati; Bacteroidota; Flavobacteriia; Flavobacteriales; Flavobacteriaceae. The record is from RNAcentral.